Molecule: long non-coding RNA, 662 nt
Filed under: Sorghum bicolor (sorghum)
Lineage: Eukaryota; Viridiplantae; Streptophyta; Magnoliopsida; Poales; Poaceae
Description: long non-coding RNA (SBIC_LNC016593)
Source: RNAcentral
AACAACCGCGGCUCGCUGGUGGCGCCGGCGAUGGAAGCGCCGCUGGUUGCGAUUGACGGCGCGGGUGGUUUUGGUGGGGAUUGGAGGCGGAGGGUGGGGACGGAGGCGGAGGCGAUUGGCGAGAAGAGCAACGCCAACGCACCAAAUCCGAUUGCGCUAUUAUUGGGCGGAGCGGAGCGCAGGCUUUGCAGUUGCUCACGCCUUGGCACGGCGGCAGCUUCGCUUUCGCUGUCGCUCGCAUCGCAAGCGUGCAGGGCGCGGGCGGAGGAGGAAACCACUCGAUUUGCCUCGCCAAGAAUGGUGCGGCUGCGAAAAAGGUAAUGGAGGAAGGUAUAUGCAACAGGACUACAGGAGACAAAACAAAAACGUAAUCUGGCGGCCGAUUUCAUUAAUUUAAUCUUUUUUUUUUUGCGAUGGAUUUCAUUAAUUCAAUCGUGCUGGUGAUCUGGCGAGGUUCCAGUUGGAUUUGCGCUUGCGGUGUCUAAUACGCGGACGACGCGACACGUUCCUAGUUGUGAUCGACGUGACAUUGGAACGUGAGGUCUGGCAGGCUUCGCUGUAGUGUUUUUUUAAAUGACUGCCAAGUGUAGUGUAGUGUCUGCUCUUGGUUCUCGGGUGUGGAUGGGAUUCACAGCCAACGGUCUAAAAGUUAAAGCUUUUUC